Molecule: ribosomal RNA, 486 nt
Filed under: uncultured bacterium
Lineage: Bacteria
Description: partial 16S ribosomal RNA
Rfam family: Bacterial small subunit ribosomal RNA
Source: RNAcentral
GAUGAACGCUAGCGGCAGGCUUAACACAUGCAAGUCGAGGGGCAGCGCGGGAUAGCAAUAUCCUGGCGGCGACCGGCGGAAGGGUGCGUAACGCGUGAGCGACAUGCCCGUUGCCCGGGGACAACCGGUGGAAACGCCGACUAAUCCCCGAUGGGAUACGAUGCUUCAUGGCGUUGUAUUGAAAGUUACGGCGGCGACGGGUUGUCUCGCGUUCGAUUAGCUGGUUGGCGGUGUAACGGCCCACCAAGGCUGCGAUCGGUAGGGGUUCUGAGGGGAAGGCCCCCCGAGAGGGGACUGAGACACGGUCCAUACUCCAAAGGGAGGCAGCAGUGAGGAAUAUUAGUCAAUGGGCGGAAGGCUGAACCAGCCAUGCCGCGUGGGGGAAGGAGGCCGUAUGGGCUGUGAACCGCUUUGGCCUGGGGGGAAUAAGGGCGUCGCGAACGUCGGAUGAGAGUACCAGGCGAAUAAGCAUCGGCUAACUCCGUG